Oryza glaberrima (African rice) is the source of this 182-nucleotide non-coding RNA. The record is from Rfam. Lineage: Eukaryota; Viridiplantae; Streptophyta; Magnoliopsida; Poales; Poaceae.
UUUAAGUACAGCUAUGGGUUUUUAUGUCAAAUAUUUGACCGUCCAUUUAGAACUUUUUUUUAUUAGAUGAUAAAAUGUGAAUAUUAUUUUAUGUGUGACUUGUUUUUUUAAUUCUUUCAUAAAUUUUUUAAAUAAAACGAACGGAUAAAUAUUGGACAUAGAAAUUCACAACUGUAUUUAAU